This is a long non-coding RNA of Limulus polyphemus (Atlantic horseshoe crab), 178 nucleotides long. RefSeq lists it as uncharacterized. NCBI's taxonomy places the organism in Eukaryota, Metazoa, Arthropoda, Merostomata, Xiphosura, Limulidae. The record is from RefSeq and is a predicted model, not a curated record. The transcript is spliced from 3 exons.
UUUUAUAUAAUUUGUAUUUUAACAUAGUGACCUGGUACUUCACACUCAAGUUUGAUGACAAACCAGUCUGUGUGAUGUUUUAUAUAAGUUGUAUUUUAACAUAGUGACCUGGUACUUCACACUUAAGUUUGAUGACAAGCCAAUCUGUGUGAUGUUUUAUAUAAGUAGUAUUUUAACA